RNAcentral lists this ribosomal RNA (109 nucleotides) under Acanthosepion pharaonis. Lineage: Eukaryota; Metazoa; Mollusca; Cephalopoda; Sepiida; Sepiidae. The record is from RNAcentral.
UUACGGUCAAAUCACGCUGAAACACCGGUUCUCGUUUGAUCACCGAAGUUAAGCAUCGUAGAGUCAGGUCAGUACUUAGAUGGGGGACCGCUUGGGAACACCUGGUACU